Long non-coding RNA from Oryza brachyantha (malo sina), 1068 nucleotides. RefSeq lists it as uncharacterized. The transcript has 3 exons. The record is from RefSeq and is a predicted model, not a curated record. Lineage: Eukaryota; Viridiplantae; Streptophyta; Magnoliopsida; Poales; Poaceae.
CUUGUUCUGAGCUAGCAGUACUUGGCUAGGUUAUGAUAUGAAUGAUGACAUUCUGGUUUUCUGGUAGCAGGUUGUGGCUGGCGGUGCAGGUGUGGAUCAGAGGAAAUGGGCAUGGCAAUAUUGCAUCAUCAAAUGGCGCUUCUGGUGUUGUCGUCUGCGUCAGUGGCAACAAGCUGCAGAUACGGUGGUUGCUUGUCCUGUAAUUGUAUGGAUCCAGAUUAUCCAUUAUCUGUUUCAGAACCGUGCCAAGACAUGAACUAAGUGCCCAGAUUUGUUACGAUGGAAUGGGACAUGGACAGAUGGACUAAUCAUGGGUUUGCAAGCUCCUGGUGUGAGCUGUGCUCAACUCCUGUCACUAACUAAACACCAGUUUUCUGGUCACGAUGACCGUCACUAUGAUGCGCUCUUACGCUAAGGUGUGCUGCCCUGGUGUUCUUCUUUAUUAUGCAACGUGAAUGCCAAAUGGUCAACAAUUGUAGCCUUGUAGGGCUUGUUUGGAUCAUUGGAUGGAGGCUAACUUUGCACAAGUUAAAAGCCACAUAAAGCGUAGCCAACGAAUGGUUGGUCACAAGUGGUAAGAUUUGGCUAAAAACUUACCACGAACCAAACAUAUGCCUAAACAUAUGUCAAACAAAAUAUGAUAAACCUAACAUGUGGCACGGUAAAUUGUGUGGCCAAACAAACAAAGAGCCAAAUUGUCCGUUAUUAAAGAUUCUAACGGCAGGACACCUGGAGAUCACCAAAAUCGUUGGGAUCGUCCCUGGUCAUUACCCAAAAAUCGCAUGCACAUCGUUAUCCAGAGCAAUGGCACAAAUAAUUCAAGCUCUGGAAUUUGCUUUGGGUCGUCAUAAGCACACAACAACCAGUGUUUAAUCAAUCCACACCAGUGUUUAAUCAAUCCACAUCGCCAGUUCAUCGCUUGCUAUGCAAUAUUGGGUUGGACGGUCCGUGCGUGUAUGAUUACACCACCGUCCACCGAAUGUCGUGCACCCAUCGAUGUAAGUAUGUUUGAUGUCAUGUUUGUAAAGAAAAAAAAAUUGUUACAGAACGGAAAUAGAGUCAAGAAAA